This 253-nucleotide ribosomal RNA is filed under the name uncultured bacterium. RNAcentral describes it as "partial 16S ribosomal RNA". It matches the Rfam family "Bacterial small subunit ribosomal RNA", at positions 524 to 776 of the family's 1533-position model. The record is from RNAcentral.
UACGUAGGGGGCGAGCGUUGUCCGGAAUUAUUGGGCGUAAAGAGCGUGUAGGCGGUUCGGUAAGUCUGCUGUGAAAUCCUGGGGCUCAACCCUGGGCGUGCGGCGGAUACUGCCGGGCUAGAGGGUGGUAGAGGCGAGUGGAAUUCCGGGUGUAGCGGUGGAAUGCGCAGAUAUUCGGGGGAACACCAGUGGCGAAGGCGGCUCGCUGGGCCACGCCUGACGCUGAUACGCGAAAGCGUGGGGAGCGAACAGG